AAACAUUUCCACAUUAGUUGAAAUGCACCACUGCGUCAAUUGUACUCGUUACUUUUAUUCGUACAAAAUUCUUUAGUCAACAGCUGUCACUCGUUUUUUGCAAUUUGACCUGUUCGGUUGUUGAUUCCAGUUAUUUCAUUUAGCGCUUAAAAUACAGGUGUAGAAUAAUUAAAGAAUAUAUCAAUAUCGUCUUUAUAUAGCCUCUACGGUGUUAAUGCGAUUGUAAAACGGUAGUGCAGUGAAGUGUUGUUGUGAUGUGGUGAAGCUAACAAAAAAGUUUUAAAGCAAAGGGGAAAAUCCAACAAAAAAAUAAGCGAAUUGUGCAAAAACGCAAUAUCAUUCAAGCGUCUCAUGUAAAAUAGAAUAUUCCUAUUGGAAUUGUAAAAAAAAGUGAAAAUUGUCAAAACAUAGUUAAUUUUCAAAUUGGAUUGAACGACGCAAUUGGAAAAUUAAAAUGUGGAGUCCAACGCACAUACAAGUUACUGUUCAACGAGCAAAAAGUCUGCUGACGAAAGGCAAAAAUGGCACCAACAACUGCUUUGUCACAAUAUCGUUGGGCAAGGAGAAAUAUCAAACAUCUGUCAAGGAGAAAGCGGAGAUGAAUGUCAGCUGGAAUGAGGAAUGCGAACUUAAAAUUCCCGACCAAGGCAAUCGUGCCGAACUGGUGCUGACUUGUUUGCAUCGCAAUAAUCUCGGCAUAGAUGAGUUUCUCGGACAGGCCACAUUGCCACUCAAUGAAAUGGAUGUUUACGAUCGUCCGCGUUCGAAAUGGUUCAAAUUGGAGAGUAAACCCGGCAAGGAGAAGAAGAAUAAAGAGCGCGGUGAGCUGGAAGCGCGCAUAUCCUUCAUUGUCAAAUCCGGCUCGCUGACCGAUCUGAGCAAGAAAGAAAAACACAAGUCUUCCAUUGGCCAACUGGCCUCUUCCGUGGGUGGCAGUCUGCUCUCCAUAGGCACAAUAGAGAAACGCAAAGGCAUUAAGAAGUUUGCCAAAUCGAUUGGUUCGAAAAUGCAUUUGCACAGCAAAAAGAAGAACAAGGACGGCGAUGAUGUAUCGAAUUUCAGUGGUUCAUUUGCAAGCAUCGGCACACCGAACAGCUCGAAUGGCGGAAGUCGCCGUUACGGGCAACGUGCUGGUGAAGCUGAUCCCGGUGUGAUUAGUGAGGACGAGGAUGAAUUUGUCUUUGACAAUUUAUCACAUAAGAGUUCAGCAAGUUCGUUGAAUAUACGCUCGAGUUUGCAACCACCAACACAAAAUUUCGCACCACGUAAUCCUUCACCGCUGCUGAACAAAGUCGUAGGUAAGCCAUUGUCUAGAAGAGAUUUGGUGGAGGAGGAUCUCGCCGUAGAUCCCGAAUUAGAGGAGUUAGAAAACGACUUCAGCGUUCGUGCACGAACACUGCCGCCGCCCUCAAAACCACCACGCACACAACAACAACUCAACGACAUGAUAGCCUCAUCACCGAAACAGAAGGAACCAGCAUUGGAUGAAUGGGAGUCCAAAUUAUAUAAACAACACUUGCAGAUUGGCAGUUCCGAUUCGUUGAAACGGCGCUCUUGGGAGCAAUCACGUGUGCCGCUACCAACACCCAAUGAAGAGGCCGAGCCGGAACCACAAGUAAAUGGCGAUGACAAGAAGGUGACCGAACAGAAAGAAGAACAAAGUUUUGUGAAACAAGCAAAUGAUUUCUCUAAUUUAAACAAUUCACAAGUGAAUGGCGACAGCGAUUCUUCAUUGUCGUCCUCAGACUCUGAAGAGGAAGAGAAGAAGGAAGUUAUACCCGAACCAAUUAAAAACGAAGUCAAAGACGUCGUUGCUAAAAGGCUACAAGAACUUAUUAUCAAUCCUAAACCCGUAACAGCUACACAAAACAUUAGUCUACUAUCGCCCGAUGAAGAGACAAAAGAUUUCAAUGAACUCAACGCUUCGUUUGCCAAAUUCGAACAACGCAAUAAAUCGCACUUAUUUGAUUUGGAUACCGAUAAGAAGUGGCAUACGCAGUCCUUCAUACAGGCCGAAAGUAAAGUGCCUGUUGUGCCCAAGGCCCUACCACGUAACCGUGAAAGGGAAGCGGAACUCAAGCGCGCUGAAGAAGAGCAAGAACUCGAGCUCAGACGUCAAGCUGAGGCGCAGGCUAAAGCAGCAGCUGAAGCCGAAGCAGCCGCAGCUGCCAAAGCUGCUGCAGACGCUGAAGCCACAGCUGCCGCUCAAGCCGCUGCACAAGCUAAACGCCAGCGUCAAGCUGAGCUUGAAGCGGCUACAAUCGCUGCCGAGGUAGAACGCAACCGACGUGAAGCGGCUGAGCGCGAAGAACAACGGCGCGCUGCGGAAGAUGCGCGUCUCGAGGACGAACUACGCAGAAAUGAGCAACAAUUGCGUGAAGAAGAAGCGGCUCUACAAGAGGAGAUGCGACAGCGUGAGGAGGAGAAACGACGCGAAGCCAAGCGACGCGAAGAGGAUCAACGCAUAUUGAACUUUGCCAAGCGAUCGACAUCGCUCGAAGACGAACAAAGUCCCUACAGUAGUACGCCCGAGCAAUCGCCGAGUGAGAUUGUUAGUGAGAAACGCGAAAGGCGCUUGGGCAAAUUCAAGUAUUUGAAUAAGCGAGAUAAAAGCGAAGAUAAUCGUUCCACACCAAGUCCAAAAGCCAACGAACGCAUCAUAAUUGGACAUGAGAAAUCCACAUCACAUGCGGAACGUCGCUCAGAGAUAUCAGCGGCAUUGGCCAAAAAAUACGACGGCAAAUCACGAGAGGAACUCAUGCUGAUCGCGAAUGGCAUGGAAAAUGAGGCACUACUGCAACGUCAACGUGUCAAAGAACUGGAGGAUUACCUGGAUAAUUUAUUGUUGCGCGUUAUGGAAACACAACCGAAACUCUUGCAGAAUCCCUACUCACGCACCACAUCGGCAAAGAGUUUUAAAAAUUACAUCAAUAUGAAUGACUUUUUGUAAAGAAAAAGAAGUGAAAGAAAGAAUGAAAGACAGGUUUGCGAAGCGCGAUGUAUUACCAACCGAUUCGGGCAGUUCGCAUGUCAUUGCCAGGACAACGGCUGAAUAUUAAUCAAAAAAUCAAAAGAUAUAUUAUAGUUAUUUAUAGCAAAUAGUAAAGUUACGCGCGCUAAUUAAAAUGAAAUGAAAAAGAAAAACAAAAACAACACAAUGAACGGUCACUUUGUUUGAGUUGUGCGGCGCCUUCCAAACAGCCUUAACAGAAGCAUACACCAAAUUCUUUGAGGAUAUAAGAGCUGUCAAGGCGCAUGAGUAGUAUCACCAAGUUGCCUUAGUGUGAAAAUUCAAAGUGCUUUUUUUUUAGACUAGUUAUAUACAUAUAAAAAUUUACACAAAAAAGAAAAACGAAAAACUAUAGCAAUGUAUGUGAAAAAAAAUAUAUGUGUUUGAGGAGUAAAACAUGAUUUUUGCAAACAAUGUCAAUGUUUGUUAGUUAGAAAUGAUUUUGUUUCUACUAAAAUACAGUUAAAUUAUUAUAUUAUUAAAAAAAAUUGUAUAUUUUUUAAGUAAAAGAAUCACAAAAUGUAUUUAACAAAAAAUUAACGGUAUUUAAUGCAGCCAAACUGCAGUAACAACGUAUACACCACAACUCAAGAUUUAAUGAUUUUAAAUUUUACACCCAGCAACGGAAAGCAAGCUAAGUUUAAGUUAAUUUAUUAAACAAUAAUUAAAAGAAAGUAAAAAAAAUGAAAGAAAUUCAAAUUUUUCAUGAAAAAAUUAUAUUUUAAAAACACAAAAUUAUAUUAUUGUAUAAAAUUUGACAUUUCUUAAUGCAAGUGACAGCUGUAAAUAAUGCAUUGAACUAGCCAAAAAGCAGGCAAAAACAAAAAUCAAAUUUAAACUAUUUACAACAAAACUCAUAUGGAAAACUGAUUAAAUAUUGCAUUUUUUAUGUAAAAAAAUUUAAAUUAUACAACACUUGUAAUUAUGACGUAAUAUUAAGUUAAGCCGUUUUCUACAAUUUCAAACAAUUUUUGCUACAAUUUAAGUUUUAUAAUAAAUAUUUUUUGUUAAGGCAUUUAAAUUUAUUUAUGUUUAUUUUACAUAUAUUUUAUUUUUGUAUCUUUUGGUUUGGUAAAUUUUUUUUUCUUUUUUGUUGCCGGUCUAAAAUUAUAUUAAAUUACUAGUUUUAACUCUGACAUUUAUCUCUGUUAUGUGUAUGUGCAAAAUUGUCGCGAUAUUGUAAUUUAAAUCUAAGUAAAAAAAAUAUUUAAUAAAUAAAAAAUAUUU
Zeugodacus cucurbitae (melon fly) is the source of this 4237-nucleotide RNA transcript. It is a transcript of the gene named rab11 family-interacting protein 1, with no coding region annotated. Lineage: Eukaryota; Metazoa; Arthropoda; Insecta; Diptera; Tephritidae. The transcript is spliced from 8 exons. The record is from RefSeq and is a predicted model, not a curated record.